This 431-nucleotide ribosomal RNA is filed under the name uncultured bacterium. Its description in RNAcentral is "partial 16S ribosomal RNA". It matches the Rfam family "Bacterial small subunit ribosomal RNA", at positions 338 to 795 of the family's 1533-position model. The record is from RNAcentral.
CCUACGGGGGGCUGCAGCCGAGAAUAUUCGACAAUGGGCGAAAGCCUGAUCGAGCGAUACCGCGUGGUGGAUGAAGCGAUUCGUCGCGUAAACAUCUUUUAUGAGGGAGGCGUUACCUCAUGAAUAAGGGGCUCCUAACUCUGUGCCAGCAGGAGCGGUAAUACAGAGGCCCCAAGCGUUACCCGGAAUUACUGGGCGUAAAGAGUGCGUAGGUGGUCGUGUUAGUCGCGCGUUAAAACCCGGAGCUCAACUUCGGAAUCGCGCGCGAAACGGCACGACUCGAGAGCGUGAGAGGUCUGUGGAACUCUGGGUGUAGGGGUGAAAUCCGUUGAUAUCCAGGGGAACACCGAAAGCGAAGGCAGCAGACUGGCGCGUUUGACACUCAAGCACGAAAGCGUGGGUAGCGAACGGGAUUAGAUACCCUUGUAGUC